Small nucleolar RNA from Protopterus annectens (West African lungfish), 76 nucleotides. Lineage: Eukaryota; Metazoa; Chordata; Ceratodontiformes; Protopteridae. The record is from RefSeq and is a predicted model, not a curated record.
UGGAAAUGAUGUAAAUGUUUAUUUCUUGACACUGAAAAAUUUGGAAGUUAAAAUGCUGAUUUAAUGAGGCUGAUCC